RNAcentral lists this ribosomal RNA (443 nucleotides) under uncultured bacterium. RNAcentral describes it as "SSU rRNA". It matches the Rfam family "Bacterial small subunit ribosomal RNA", at positions 26 to 518 of the family's 1533-position model. The record is from RNAcentral.
AGAGCGAACGCUGGCGGCAGGCUUAACACAUGCAAGUCGAGCGCCCCGCAAGGGGAGCGGCAGACGGGAGAGUAACACGUGGGAACGUACCUUUCGGUUCGGAACAACCCAGGGAAACUUGGGCUAAUACCGGAUACGUCCGUAAGGAGAAAGAUUUAUCGCCGAAAGAUCGGCCCGCGUCUGAUUAGCUAGUUGGUGAGGUAACGGCUCACCAAGGCGACGAUCAGUAGCUGGUCUGAGAGGAUGAUCAGCCUCACUGGGACUGAGACACGGCCCAGACUCCUACGGGAGGCAGCAGUGGGGAAUAUUGGACAAUGGGCGCAAGCCUGAUCCAGCCAUACCGCGUGGGUGAUGAAGGCCCUAGGGUUGUAAAGCCAUUUCGGCGGGAAGAUAAUGACGGUACCCGCAGAAGAAGCCCCGGCUAACUUCGUGCCAGCAGCCGC